This 617-nucleotide ribosomal RNA is filed under the name uncultured bacterium. RNAcentral's name for it is "bacterial SSU rRNA". The stretch from base 1 to 543 matches the Rfam family "Bacterial small subunit ribosomal RNA", at positions 338 to 873 of the family's 1533-position model. The record is from RNAcentral.
CCUACGGGAGGCAGCAGUGGGGAAUUUUGGACAAUGGGCGCAAGCCUGAUCCAGCCAUGCCGCGUGUGGGAAGAAGGCCUUCGGGUUGUAAACCACUUUUGUCAGGGAAGAAACGGUCUGAACUAAUACUUUGGACUAAUGACGGUACCUGAAGAAUAAGCACCGGCUAACUACGUGCCAGCAGCCGCGGUAAUACGUAGGGUGCAAGCGUUAAUCGGAAUUACUGGGCGUAAAGCGUGCGCAGGCGGCUUUGCAAGACAGAUGUGAAAUCCCCGGGCUCAACCUGGGAACUGCAUUUGUGACUGCAUGGCUAGAGUACGGUAGAGGGGGAUGGAAUUCCGCGUGUAGCAGUGAAAUGCGUAGAUAUGCGGAGGAACACCGAUGACGAAGGCAAUCCCCUGGACCUGUACUGACGCUCAUGCACGAAAGCGUGGGGAGCAAACAGGAUUAGAUACCCUGGUAGUCCACGCCCUAAACGAUGUCAACUGGUUGUUGGGAGGGUUUCGUUCUCAGUAACGAAGCUAACGCGUGAAGUUGACCGCCUGGGGNGGUACGGCGCGAGUAGAACGACAANAGAGUAGAGCGUGAGAGNGCGACGACGACGACGAGGGAGGAGG